CUGCAACUGAAAACGUAUGAUCCGGUUGGAACGUUAUCGGAUAUAUAUGAAAAUAACAUCCUGAAGAUUGAUUCUCUACUUAGUUUGACCAGUUUAUGCGACCUGGAAUAUAUCUUUUUGAAGUUUUCGUGCGAGUUGUCCUGGACCAGCAUCAGCUUUUGGGCAUGUGAGCUGAAAGUGAUAGCAAAUGCAGCUAAUUGGACACUAGUAUUGGACAUUAUGGAACAAAACAACGAUUUAUUGUGGAACUAGGACUCCUUGCACUGCAUUCUGAUGAAAGAUCAUCAAAGGACUACCUGGUCUGAUGACUUCUUGCUCUCCCCAGUCCACCUGGUCAUGCUACUGCUCCAGUUUCAGCUGUUCUGCCUGCAGCUAUGGAACCCUGACCUGUUCAGUGGACGUGCUACCUUGGCCCGGACCUGUUGUUUUGGACUCUCUCUCUACCGCACCUGCUGUCUCUAACUCUGAAUGAUCGGCUAUGAAAAGUCAACUGACAUUUACUCCUGAGGUGCUGACCUGUUGCACCCUCUACAAGCACUGUGAUUAUUAUUAUUUGACCCUGCUGGUCAUCUAUGAACGUUUGAACAUCUUGGCCUUGUUCUGUUAUAAUCUCCACCGGCACAGCCAGAAGAGGGUUGGCCACCCCUCAGAGCCUUGUUCCUCUCUAGGUUUCUUCCUAGGUUCUGGAUUUUCUAGGGAGUUUUUCCUAGCCACCGUACUUCUACACCUGCAUUGCUUGCUGUUUGGGGUUUCAGGCUGGGUUUCUGUACAGCACUUUGUGACAUCGGCUGAUGUAAAAAAAGGGCUUCAUAAAUCAAUUUGAUUUGAUUUGAUUUAGUGAAAUAAAAGUAAAAGAAGUCAAAAAUAGAAAUAGUAAAGUAAAGUACAGAUACCCCAAAAAACUACUUAAGUAGUACUUUAAAGUAUUUUUACUUAAGUACUUUACACCACUGGACCUAUUCACCAUACUGUAGAGCAGCGGUUCCCAAAUGUUUUAUAGCCCCAUAUGCCUUCAAACAUUCAUCCCGCAGCUGCGUACCCCUUCUAGCACCAGGGUCAGCGCACUCUCAAAUGUUGGUUUUGCCAUCAUUGUAAGCCUGCCACACACACACUAUACGAAACAUUUAUUAAACAUAAGAAUGAGUGUGAGUUUUUGUCACAACCCAGCUUGUGGGAAGUGACAAAGGGCUCUUAUAGGACCAGGGCACAAAUAAUAAUAUAAACCCAGCAAAAAAAUAAACGUUCUCUCACUGUCAACUGCGU
This is a long non-coding RNA of Oncorhynchus tshawytscha (Chinook salmon), 1263 nucleotides long. Lineage: Eukaryota; Metazoa; Chordata; Actinopteri; Salmoniformes; Salmonidae. The record is from Ensembl.